Molecule: non-coding RNA, 43 nt
Filed under: Trypanosoma brucei brucei
Lineage: Eukaryota; Euglenozoa; Kinetoplastea; Trypanosomatida; Trypanosomatidae
Source: RNAcentral
AUAGUAACACAGCAGAUAGAGCACGUAUAGAGAUAGAUAAAAU